Molecule: ribosomal RNA, 301 nt
Filed under: uncultured bacterium
Lineage: Bacteria
Description: partial 16S ribosomal RNA
Rfam family: Bacterial small subunit ribosomal RNA
Source: RNAcentral
CAGCAGCCACGGUAAUACGGAGGGUGCAAGCGUUAAUCGGAAUUACUGGGCGUAAAGCGCACGCAGGCGGUCUGACAAGUCAGAUGUGAAAUCCCCGGGCUUAACCUGGGAACUGCAUUUGAAACUGUCAGGCUGGAGUCUUGUAGAGGGGGGUGGAAUUCCAGGUGUAGCGGUGAAAUGCGUAGAGAUCUGGAGGAAUACCGGUGGCGAAGGCGGCCCCCUGGACAAAGACUGACGCUCAGGUGCGAAAGCGUGGGGAGCAAACAGGAUUAGAUACCCCAGUAGUCCCUGUCUCUUAUAU